Molecule: ribosomal RNA, 494 nt
Filed under: uncultured bacterium
Lineage: Bacteria
Description: SSU rRNA
Rfam family: Bacterial small subunit ribosomal RNA
Source: RNAcentral
AGGAUUAACGCUGGCGGCGUGCAUGAAACAUGCAAGUCGAGCGCGGUGUGAUGAGGGGUAACCCGAUUCACAUCUAGCGGCGAACGGGUGAGUAACACGUGAGCAACCUACCUUUGAGUUGGGGAUAGCCCUGGGAAACCAGGAUUAAUACCCGAUGUGGUCACAACAGGACAUCCUGAUGUGAGUAAAGGCGUAAGCCGCUCAAUGACGGGCUCGCGGCCUAUUAGCUUGUUGGUGGGGUAACGGCCUACCAAGGCGAUGAUGGGUAGCUGGUCUGAGAGGACGAUCAGCCACACUGGGACUGAGACACGGCCCAGACUCCUACGGGAGGCAGCAGUUAGGAAUUUUCCGCAAUGGGCGAAAGCCUGACGGAGCAACGCCGCGUGAGUGAUGAAGACCUUCGGGUUGUAAAGCUCUGUCGGAGGGAAGAAUGUCCUCGGUGCUAACAGUGCUGAGGAGUGACGGUACCACUAGAACAAGACACGGCUAACUCG